RNAcentral lists this ribosomal RNA (406 nucleotides) under uncultured bacterium. RNAcentral's name for it is "partial 16S ribosomal RNA". It matches the Rfam family "Bacterial small subunit ribosomal RNA", at positions 30 to 526 of the family's 1533-position model. The record is from RNAcentral.
AUUGAACGCUGGCGGCAGGCCUUACACAUGCAAGUCGAACGAGUGGCGGACGGGUGAGUAAUGUCUGGGAAACUGCCUAAUGGAGGGGGAUAACUGCUGGAACCGGUAGCUAAUACCGCAUACCAUCAGAUGUGCCCAUAUCGGAGUAGCUGGUUGGUGGGGUAACGGCUCACCAAGGCGACGAUCCCUAGCUGGUCUGAGAGGAUGACCCGCCACACUGGAACUGAGACACGGCCCAGACUCCUACGGGAGGCAGCAGUGGGGAAUAUUGCACAAUGGGCGCAAGCCUGAUGCAGCCAUGCCGCGUGUAUGAAGAAGGCCUGCGGGUUGUAAAGUACUUUCAUCGGGGAGGCGGUACCUGAAGAAGAAGCACCGGCUAACUCCGUGCCAGCAGCCGCGGUAAUAC